UGCAGUCGAACGCUGAAGCCUGGUGCUUGCACUGGGUGGAUGAGUGGCGAACGGGUGAGUAACACGUGAGUAACCUGCCCCUGACUCUGGGAUAAGCCUGGGAAACUGGGUCUAAUACUGGAUAUGACUGAUCAUCGCAUGGUGGUUGGUGGAAAGAGUUUUUGGUUGGGGAUGGACUCGCGGCCUAUCAGCUUGUUGGUGAGGUAGUGGCUCACCAAGGCGACGACGGGUAGCCGGCCUGAGAGGGUGACCGGCCACACUGGGACUGAGACACGGCCCAGACUCCUACGGGAGGCAGCAGUGGGGAAUAUUGCACAAUGGGCGCAAGCCUGAUGCAGCGACGCCGCGUGAGGGAUGACGGCCUUCGGGUUGUAAACCUCUUUCAGUUAGGAAGAAGCCUUUCGGGGUGACGGUACUAGCAGAAGAAGCGCCGGCUAACUAC
Molecule: ribosomal RNA, 442 nt
Filed under: uncultured bacterium
Lineage: Bacteria
Description: bacterial SSU rRNA
Rfam family: Bacterial small subunit ribosomal RNA
Source: RNAcentral